GGGUAGUCAAUUGAGAGCACUGAGAGUGAUUCUCUCUAAUCUCCAUAGUUUUGUAUUAAUUUAUUGAUAUAUUUGUUGCAUCUGCAGAUUUAACUUUCAGUCUAAAAUUUGCAGCAUUGACGAGCCCCAACAAAAAAUAAGAAAAAAAAAACUAUUAGAGCACUAAAAAAUCUAUUAAUUUUUACAACCUAAGCAUUUCUUUAUAAAUUUUAUUUCUAUGAGGAUAGUGAAUACUGAUCUCGUUUUUCAUAAAUCACAUGCGCAACAGGAAUUAUCCCUUCAGAGAUGGGGAGAUGGAGGAAUCUCGUCCACCUGGAUCUAUCUGAUAAUUUCCUCUGGGGAUAUAUCCCUCCAACUCUUGGUCGUCUAAGCAAAUUGGAAAAUUUGCACUUGUCUUCUAACUCCCUUGUUGGUAAUAUCCCCUCCAUUGUAGGUCAUCUAACCCAUCUAACUACUUUGGCUAUUGCCUCAAACCACAUUGAUGUUUCCAUCCCAUUAGAAAUCGGGAAUUUGAACUUUCUUCAAGUUCUUGACCUGUCCUGAAAUGAAAUUGGAGGUUCAAUUCCUUCAAACACUUGGCCAUUUAAAGAGGUUGAGAAGUUUAGACUUGUCCCAGAACAAACUUGUUGGCCCAAUCCCUUCGUCUGUAGGUCAUUUGACUCAGCUAACUACUUUUUAUAUGCACUCAAACCUAAUCAAUGGUUCCAUCCCAUUAGAAAUCGGGAAUUUGAACUUUCUUCAAGUUCUUGACCUGUCCUGAAAUGAAAUUGGAAAUAUAACAAUCUAACGGGAUCUAUUCCUUCAACACUUGAUCAUUUAAACAGGUUGACAGAUUUAGAAUUGUUCGAAAACAAACUUCUUGGUCCAAUCCCUUCGUCUGUGGGUCAUUUGACUCAACUAACUACUUUGUAUAUGUACUCAAACCUAAUCAAUGGUUCCAUCCCAUUAGAAAUCGGGAAUUUGAACUUUCUUCAAGUUCUUGACCUGUCCGACAACAAACUUGAAGGUCCAAUUCCUUCCACCAUAGCUGGUUUAGUCAACUUGACAUCUCUGUCCCUGGAUUAUAACAAUCUAACUGGAUCUAUU
RNAcentral lists this long non-coding RNA (1086 nucleotides) under Citrus sinensis (sweet orange). RNAcentral describes it as "long non-coding RNA (CSIN_LNC003098)". Lineage: Eukaryota; Viridiplantae; Streptophyta; Magnoliopsida; Sapindales; Rutaceae. The record is from RNAcentral.